This 205-nucleotide microRNA precursor is filed under the name Oryza sativa Japonica Group (Japanese rice). Its description in RNAcentral is "MIR812 microRNA precursor family". It matches the Rfam family "MIR812 microRNA precursor family". The record is from Rfam by way of RNAcentral. Lineage: Eukaryota; Viridiplantae; Streptophyta; Magnoliopsida; Poales; Poaceae.
AAUAACUCAAUUCUUGAGUUUCCGUGUCUAACGUUUAAUCGUCCGUCUUAUUUAAAAAAAAUAAAAAAAUUUAAAAAGAUAAAUCACACAUAAAGUAUUAUUCAUGUUUUAUCAUCUAACAACAAUAAAAAUACUAAUCAUGAAAAAAAUUCAUAUAAGACGGACAGUCAAACGUAGGACACGAAAACCCAGGAAUUGAGUCUUU